RNAcentral lists this ribosomal RNA (253 nucleotides) under uncultured bacterium. RNAcentral's name for it is "partial 16S ribosomal RNA". It matches the Rfam family "Bacterial small subunit ribosomal RNA", at positions 524 to 776 of the family's 1533-position model. The record is from RNAcentral.
UACGAAGGGGGCUAGCGUUGUUCGGAAUCACUGGGCGUAAAGGGCGCGUAGGCGGCCUGAUAAGUCGGGGGUGAAAGCCCGUGGCUCAACCACAGAAUUGCCUUCGAUACUGUUAGGCUUGAGACCGGAAGAGGUAAGUGGAACUGCGAGUGUAGAGGUGAAAUUCGUAGAUAUUCGCAAGAACACCAGUGGCGAAGGCGGCUCACUGGCCCAUUACUGACGCUGAGGCACGAAAGCGUGGGGAGCAAACAGG